Molecule: ribosomal RNA, 492 nt
Filed under: uncultured bacterium
Lineage: Bacteria
Description: partial 16S ribosomal RNA
Rfam family: Bacterial small subunit ribosomal RNA
Source: RNAcentral
AGUGAACGCUGGCGGUAGGCCUAACACAUGCAAGUCGAACGGCAGCACAGUAAGAGCUUGCUCUUACGGGUGGCGAGUGGCGGACGGGUGAGGAAUACAUCGGAAUCUACUUUUUCGUGGGGGAUAACGUAGGGAAACUUACGCUACUACCGCAUACGACCUACGGGUGAAAGCAGGGGAUCUUCGCACCUUGCGCGACUGAAUGAGCCGAUGUCGGAUUAGCUAGUUGGCGGGGUAAAGGCCCACCAAGGCGACGAUCCGUAGCUGGUCUGAGAGGAUGAUCGGCCACACUGGAACUGAGACACGGUCCAGACUCCUACGGGAGGCAGCAGUAGGGAAUAUUGGGCAAUGGGCGCAAGCCUGAUCCAGCCAUACCGCGUGAGUGAAGAAGGCCUUCGGGUUGUAAAGCCCUUUUGUUGGGAAAGAAAAGCAGCAGGUUAAUACCCCGCUGUUCUGACGGUACCCAAAGAAUAAGCACCGGCUAACUUCGUG